The sequence is a ribosomal RNA, 432 nucleotides long. It matches the Rfam family "Microsporidia small subunit ribosomal RNA", at positions 644 to 1215 of the family's 1311-position model.
UAAAGCUUCAAACUGGGAUUAGAUACCCCACUAUUCUUGGAUGUAAAUUAAUUCUUAUUUACCAGAGUACUAUGAAUUAAAUAUUUAAAACUUAAAGGGCUUGGCGGUGUUUUAGACCCCUCAGGGGAACCUGUCUCGUAAUCGACAGUCCACGAUAAACCUAACCCUUUUUUGUAUAUCAGCUUGUAUACCGUCGUCGUCAGGUAACUUUUUAGAAGAAAGAAGUUAGCAAAAAAAUGAAAUAAAUUUUCACGUCAGAUCAAGGUGCAGCUAAUAAAAGGGGGAGGAUGGGUUACAAUUACAAAAUUGUAAUAACGAAAAGUUCUUUGAAAUAAGAAUAGGAAGGAGGACUUGAAAGUAAGAUAAAAUAUAUAAAUGUUCUGAAUAUGGCUCUGAAACGUGCACACACCGCCCGUCACCCUCUGCAGUCAA